Molecule: long non-coding RNA, 7014 nt
Organism: Nyctereutes procyonoides (raccoon dog)
Lineage: Eukaryota; Metazoa; Chordata; Mammalia; Carnivora; Canidae
Exons: 4
Source: RefSeq, a predicted model, not a curated record
UCGCAGGUGUUGGGCGGCCUUGGGGAAGCUUUUGGAGUCAAAGGGCCGCGUUCCAGUAGGGACUUUGCCAGAAUUCGUUUCGUUUAGCUAAAAGAAGACUUUUUUUGGGCGGGGGGAGGGGGGCUUCCUAUUCCUUCCUCGAGGCCGAAGCUGGUCUUCCCGCUUUCCCCGCUGUGCUUUGGCAUCAUAGGUUUCGGCUUAUCUUGGCAGCUUAUCAGAGUUCUAGCUGUGCCAUUCCACUCUCAAACCACGUGUCUCGAGUUAGGGCUCUGGGAAGAAAAAGCAACAAGACCUCAUCAUAGUUAUAUACUGUUCAUCGUAAUGCCCGCCUUCACGUCACCUUACUCCUCUAAGGGAGAAUGACAUCCUCUUCCCAGGUCCGUUGCUUUCCUCGAUUUCUUCCGUAUUGGAACUUAAACAAACAAUGAACACCGUGGCUUUUUCUGUUUUCCGGAUCGUUUAGAAAAACAGAUAGGAAUUCUGUACGCAAGUGUCUGGCACUGAGCCUGGCAUAGAUACAAGGGACUUAUCUGGGUGCAAAUGGGUCUUUAUUUCAGUAUAUUACUGAAUUUCAUUAGCCUUCCUCCUUUGGUAAAAAUGUACUAUGGUGGGACCAGAAAUACAAAUGAGAUGUGUUUCCUGCUUCAGAUUUACAGAGAGAAACAAAGUAUGUAUCUUUUAAGAUUUUGUUUAUUUAUGCAUGAGACAGAGACAGAGAGAGGCAGAGACACAGGCAGAGGGAGAAGCAGGCUCCAUGCAGGGAGCCCCAUGUGGGACUCGAUCCCGGGUCUCCAGGGUCACACCCUGGGCUGAAGGCAGAGGCUCAACCACUGAGCCAGCUGGGUGUCCCAACGAAAGCAUAUCUACAAACAUUGUAAUAAAUGCUGAAUCAAGAUGGUUUCUGAGUGAUAUAUGCCCGCUGUGUAUAAAUAGACUUAACUAGUUUUAACAUUCUUUUUCUUUUUUUUAGAUUUUGUUUAUUUAUUCAUGAGAGACACACACAGAGAAAGAGAGAGAGAGAGAGAGAGCGGCAGAGACACAGAGAGAAAGAGGCAGAGACACAGGUAGAGGGAGAAGCAGGCUCCAUGCAGGGAGUCCAACGUGGGACCAGGAUCACACCUUGGGCUGAAGGCGGCGCCAAACCACUGGGCCGCCGAGGCUACCCUCAGCUAUGAAUUUAAAUUCAGGAUUUUUUGAGAACAGCUGCACCAUCUCAUAUUUUCACCAACCGUGCACAAAGGGUCCCAAUUUCUCCACAUCUUUGCUGUCUUCUGUUUUUUGUGAGUCACACACAGAGAGAGAGAGAGGCAGAGACACAGGCAGAGGGAGAAGCAGGCUCCAUGCACCGGGAGCCCGACGUGGGAUUCGAUCCGGGGUCUCCAGAAUCGCGCCCUGGGCCAAAGGCAGGCGCCAAACCGCUGCGCCACCCAGGGAUCCCUAAAAUUUCUUUUCAUUAUAUAUAGCUUGAACCUUUAAGCAUGGUGUUCAGCCAGAGGUCUUCAGUGUGCCCAAGCAGAUCAACCUUUCAAGUCCCCCAGGAUGCAGAAAUAAAGUACUGGCAGAACCUGAACUAGAGCUAGAAGGAUGGAGGGAGGCACAUAUGCAAAGUAUAAAGUUGUGCUUGGUCCCCUCAUCUUAUCAUGAAUGCAUCCUGGCCCCACAUUUGGAAUGCCUCGAAAAUCUGAGAAGAAAGAAACUUCAUGUUAAAUGCGACUGAUGAAUUGUUGAACUCUACCUCUGAAACUAAUGAUGUUCUACAUGUUGGCUAAUUGAAUUUAAAUUUAAAAAAAUUAAAGUAUAAAAAAAGAAAAAGUUACAAACCUAAAGAACAAACAAAAAACAGCCACAGGUUAAAAGAGACAACUGUGACAGCUGGGGGUUAAUCUGUCUUAUGUGUGAACUCUCUAGAAAUGUCUAGGCAUGAGAAGCAGAAUGGACUUCUUAACUGCCUGGGACAAAAAGAAGAUUGGCAGUAGGACAUAGAUGUAUUAAACAUAGGAGAGAUGGAUAUGGACAAGGAUAUUUAAGUGGCAGUGCCAUAAUAGGAAAAGGAGCAUAUUUUAUCUAAGAAAAUUGUAUUUCCUCCAGUGCUACUAAUGUCUUUGAACUUAUCUAAGAACUAUGUGGAAAAAUGAAAACCUCAGAAAAUACUAAAUUUCUUUCUAGCAAAGUCAGAGGGCAUUGGAGCAUUGAGAUUUUAGAAUUAUCAUAAACAGUGACACAAUUGCCUUCCCCAUUUCCCAAGAAGUAUUGGCUACAGUUGUACUACAAAUUAUUGAAACCAAUCAUGUAUUAUUAGAAUAUUUAACUUUUUCCUAGUAUGUUACUCUUAAGACUAUUAUGCUGAACAAACCUAUACAAUGUUCUUUGACAACACCUUUAACACUUUCUAAGGAUAGGACUCAGAAUAGCCAAAACAAUCAGAAAAAAGAACAAAGUUAAAGAAUCUGCCCUUCCUAAUUUCAAACCUUACGGUAAACUUCAGUAAUCAAGGCAGUGUGGUACUGGCAAAGGAUGGAUAUACAGACCAAGGGAAUAGAAUUUAGAGUCCAAAAAUAAACCCUUAUAAUUAUGGUCAGUUGAUUUUCAACAAGGGCACUGAAACGAUUCAGUGGGAAAGAAUAGUCUUUCAAUGAAUGGUGCUGGGACAAUUGGCUCUCCACAUACAAAACAAUGAAGUUGGAUGUCCUGCCUCGUACCAUAUACAAAAAUUAACUCAAAGUCAAUCAAAAACAUAAGUAUAAGAACUAAUAACUAUAAACCUCUCAGAAGAAAACAAAGGAGUAAAUCUUUGUCUUAGAUAUGACAAUGAAAGCAUAAACAACAAUGGAUAAAUUAAACAUCACCAAAAUUAAAAUCUUUCACACUUCAUAGGACGUCAUUAAUAAAGUGGAAAGAUAAUCCACAGAAUGGAAGAAAAUAUUGCAAAUAUCUGAUAAGGAAAUUGUAACCAUAAUAUAUAUGGAAUUCUUACAAUUUCACAAUAAAAUGGCAAAGUAAUAUUAUUUGAGCAAAGGUGAGCAAAGGAUUUGAAUAGACAUCUAUUCAAAGAAGAUAUACAAAUGACUAAUUAGUCCAUGAGAAGAUAUUUUUUUCUUUUAAAGAUUUUAUUUAUUUGAGAGAGAGAGAGCAUGAGAGAGAAAUCAUGAGCAGGGGGAAGGGCUGAGGGAGAAGCAGACUCCCCACUGAGCUGGCAGCCCCAUGCAUGAUUUGAUGCUGGGAUUGUGACCUGAGCUGAAGGCAGAUGCUUAACCGACUGAGCCACACAGAUGCCCCCAUGAGAGGAUGCGAAACAUCGUUUGUCAUAAGAGAAACCCAAAUCAUAGCCACAAGAUACCACUUCACACCCAUUAGGAUGGUUAUUAUUAAAAAGAUGAACAGUAUCAACUAGUAAGUGUUUCUGAGGAUAUGGAGAAAUUGGAUCCCUCGUGCAUUGCUUGUGGGAUUGUAAAAUGUUGCAGCUGCUUUGAAAAACAGUUUGGCGACCUCUCAAAGUGUUAAACAUAGAGUUAUUAUAUGACCCAGAAUUUGACUGCUAGCUAUAUAUCCAAGAAAAAUGGAAAGAUCCAGCCAAAACCUUAUACAUGAAUGUUCAUAGCAACAUUAUUCCUAAUAGCCAAAAAGUGAAAACAACCUAAUGGCCAUUAAUGGACAAAUGGAUAAAAGCACUGUGGUAUAGACAUACAAUGAACUAUUACUCCACCAUAAAAAAGCAUGAAGAACUGAUACGUUCUACAACAUGGAUGCACUUUGAUAACCUUAUGUGGAAUGAAAAAAGUCAGAAACAAAAAGCCACAUAUCUUAUUAUUCCAUUCAUGCUAAUUGUUCAGGAUAAGCAAAUUCACAAAGACAGAAAGUAGACUAGUGGUUGCCAGGUACUGGGGGGAUGGUAGAAGGGAUACAGUUUACUUUUGAUGAUAUUUGUUUUGAAAUUGGAUAGUGGUGAUGGUUGUGCCACUCUAAAUACACUAAUGACCACUGGAUUAUAUACUCUAAAAGAAUGAAUUUAUUAUUUACUCUGUUUUUAAAUUAAGACUCUAAGAAUAAAUUCUUUACAAUGAGAAGUUAUUUUUCAUUUCCCUGAAGCCUUGGGAUCCCGGGGAAGAAGGCAAACAGCAAGUUUGAAGGAAGAAAGAAAGGAAGAGCUAAUAAUAAAUUUGGGAGAAAGGGUAGUCUCUACAGUUUUCUCUUUCCUCUAAGGAAUCUCACUGUGUUCCUUGGGAUUAUCAUGACCACUACAUUGGAAGCCUAUGAGAUGAGGUUUUGACAUUGGCUGGAAGGUACUGUUACACUGGUUGAGGAUGACUAUGGUAUAGGUCAUAUGUCUGAGUGAAAGAGUUGGUAAAUAUGGAAGGAGAACAAGGGGCUAGAGAGGAAAGCUUGUUGAUGGUAAGGUGACCAGUUACUUUGUUUUGUCUGAGACCGUCCUGUUUUAGCACUCAAAGCUGCACACUCCAGGGAAACCCUCAGCCUCAGGCAAACCAGGAUGGUAGGUUAUCUAGUUGGAAGCAACAUGACAAGGACACUGAUGGGCUAUUAUUUACUGAAGGCCUACCAUGACACAGGCAUUAUGCUAAGAUCCCUUUAUGCAUUAUCUUUUUCAAUUCUCACAGUCAGCUUCUCAGGUAAUUACUGAGGUUAAGUUAUCUGUCCUAGGUCAAAUAGAAGAGCCAAGGGGCACCUGGGUGGCUCAGUGGUUGAGGAUCUGCCUUUGGCUCAGGGCAUGAUCCUGGGCUCCUGGGAUCCAGUGCUGCAUCAGGCUCCCUGCAGGGAGCCUGCUUCUCCCUCUACCUAUGUCUCUGCCUCUCUCUGUGUAUCUCUCAUGAAUAAAUAAAAUCUUUUUUAAAAAAAUGGAAGAGCUAAAAUUUCAAUCCCAGUCCAUAGAGUCAGAGUCUUUAGUCUUAACCACCCCCACUCAACUGAAAGAUUGAGCCAAUAAAGUGAAAAAAUUGAAAAACAAAUUAUCUAUAAAGAGUGCUUUAAGUUUAAAAAUGCUUUUUAUACCCAUGGUCACAUUCCUCCCCUCUAGGAACCCAUUCGUUCAUCUGUGCAUUCAUUCAACAAGUCCUUAUGGCACUUACUUGGCACCAAACUCUGUGUUAAGUGCUGAGAAUAAGUCACAAACCUCUCUGUGGAGCUUAUGUUUGGUGAUAGGCCAAAAAUAAGAAACAAAAAUAUCUGGGAGUUAUGGUAAGAAUUAUGAAGGAAACAGAAGCACACAGAAACUAUCAGAGGUAAGUUGGUUUAAGGCAGGAUGGCCAGGGAAAAGAAUCUGUAAGGGAGAAGGAUUUAGGCUGAAGCCCAAAUAAUGAGGAAGAACUAGUCCCAUGAAAAUCCAGGGAAAACACUCAUACGAGAGGACGAUUUGCCCAAAGGUCCUGAAACAGAAAUGAGCUUCUUAUGUUUGAAGAUACCAGGAAAGAAGAGUCAGUGUUGUCAUAGCAUAUGUAGCAAGUAAAGCAGGAAAUCUUAUCUUUGACUUGUAGAUGAGAACUUGAGGUAGGGUUAUGAGACUUCCCAGUAUCACUUAACUAUGGGUCAGGCCUCAACCCAAGGUCUUCUGAGUACUGAGAGUUGUUGCUUUCAUCUUAUCUUGAAAAAGGGGAUUUUUCUUAUGGCUAUGAUUUUCAAACAUUAUAGGAACAGAAACCUUUUUUACAUAUAAUCUCAUAUUAAAGCCUAAUGUUUGAAACAGAUAAAACCUGACUCCUCUCCUGGGGCUGGAGGUAGGGCUCAGGAUCCCGGCUGUUCAAGUCCUUGGUACCCCUAACCCCUUUAGGUUCAGCUGCUGAACUGAAACCCUAGCGAGUUUUUAGUUCACAGAAUCACAUCUUGAAUCACAUCUUCACAUACAUUUGCCAAAAUGUAUAGAAGGGUUUUGUUUUUGUAUCUUUAAUUUUCAUUCCAGUGUAGUUAUAUUAGUUUCAGGUAUACAAUCUAGUGAUUCAAUACUCCCAUGGAUUUUAAUUUAGCUGCAUAUUAGCUUCUAAAAAGAAGUUUCUGUUUGGGGUUUGGUUUUUUCACUUACAUGUUAGCGAAGCAGUACACGCAGGAAUUAGAAUAUGUAACAUUAUUAGAAGCGCAUAAUGGGCUGACUCUUAUGGAGCAUGUAUGUUUCCGUUGUGUAAACGUCUUUUGAUAAUAACUGCAUUGAAUGUCCUAAAACGAAACUCACAGGUAAAACUCUCAAUCUUAUAAUGAUUGGCUUAAUGGCUUCUAAUAUAAGUUCCUGGGAGUUUUAUUUUAUGCAGACGAAGAUAAUGAUAAAAUACAUCUUCCUUCACACUUUAAACAUCAAACUUCCUUAUCUUAAAUUCAGCAGCCAAAGCCUUUGGGAUUUCCACUUUGAAAGGCAGCUGAAGCUAUAUAGUCCUAUACUUUGGCUCUAUGAUAUGUAUCUGUAACUUGUUAGAAAGGAAAGAGAACAUUCAGGGAAGUGACAAAAAUGCCUACAACUAUUGUCCAAGUGCUUCUGGAAUCAUUUUAGUUCAUCAAAACCCCCUUUCACUGUGGCGCUCAGAUCAGAAUACCCUGCAUGGUCCCACUCUGCUAUUGGCUAUAUUCCAGUCCUGAGGAUUAGGAGGCUGGAGUAAUGAGAAAAGAUUAUUUUCUCAUUUUGUUUUUCUUCCUUCAUAGUCCCAGAGUUGGUGUAAGCUGGAUUUAGAGGACUUGACUGACAGAGUAGAAGAAGGGCUAGUCUAUAGGUAGAAGGAGGGCUUGGAAAGUUCAUGAGCACUAUGUGAUGAACAGAUAAGUCAGCUGCCACAAAUUUCUCCUUCAUUGGCUCAAAUCACAGUAUAUUCAGAUAUCCAUAGAUCAGGGUACUUCCCCGUCUAUGAAACUUAAAAGGCUCUCAUUACUGAAAGCAAUGUUGGCCAACUUCUGUCAUUGGUUCAUAAUUCCUUCCAAAUUCAUAUGCCAUUUUUCUUUAAAAAUAUUUUUUGUUGAUUGGGCUUCUUUUUUAAACUUGACUAUUCACCCUAGAAAUGUCCUGAAUAUGAAUAUCCAUGAUAU